RNAcentral lists this long non-coding RNA (27843 nucleotides) under Musa acuminata (dwarf banana). RNAcentral's name for it is "long non-coding RNA (MACU_LNC002010)". The record is from RNAcentral. Lineage: Eukaryota; Viridiplantae; Streptophyta; Magnoliopsida; Zingiberales; Musaceae.
GGUGAGAGACUUGAGUAGGAAAGGCCUAUCUGUAGACAUGGUCAAAAGGCACAUCACAACAUGGAGCUACUACUGGGCUAAGUCUUACAUGCCCUAUGUUAGGGCUUGAUUCUACACUAUGUUGAAUCUUGACGUUAACAUCAAAUUGUUUAGUGGGGUAGACAGUAGAAGUGGGUAAAGAUUAAGAUUGAUUGUCUAAUAGGUGUACUAUUACUAACUUAUGCACAUUUUGGACCAACGAUGAAGAAUCAACGAAGUUAACAUGCCAAUUAUCAUAAUUAGACUAGCUCAUGACAAUAGGUCAUACAACUAUUUAUUCAAAAUAAAAUGUUUUAAUCCAUAAGUUUUACCUUAUUAAAUGGAUUACAAUUACAGGAAUUGACAAAUUAAAUCUUAGACAUAAAAGCAAUAGAACAUCUCACAUAGGCAACAUCAGAAUUUUGUUUACUGUUAUUCUGUCUUUGUUACAAGUAAACUCAGGACUUGUGACAACUUUCAAAUUGAACAAUCUUUGCUGUUCAGAAAUAUAAAAUAACUAAUUUAAACAUGCAAAGCUCUUCAACAACAAAAACGCUGGAGCUUGGUUGAGCAUUCAUCUAGCUAAGAAACUGAGUUUUGAGUUCAGAGAUUCAAUCUUUGAUCUGUCCGUUCAUAUAGCUAAGAAACUGAGUUUUAAGUUCAAAGAUUCAGUCUUUGAUCUGUCCAUUCGGUUCAUUCAUUGGGUAAGUGGUUCCACUAAAGUAAUACUAAUGUAUAUGGAGUUAUUAUUAUUAAUACGAUUUUGGAAAAUAAACAACGUAUACAAACUGUUCAGAACAUUUUGCAAUGAUAGCAUCUAUGAGGCUGUCAUAAGGACAUUAAGAUGUAUAUUUGACAUAAAUAUGUCAUGAUCUCUUCCUUUCUUUAUAAAAAUAUCUAUUUUUUAACUAUAUAAUUCAGUAGAGACAUGUGAUAAUGAUUCACCCUCUAGUUAAGUUUUGGAAGCAUAAUGACUGUAUAAAAGUGGUUCAGUUGUAACUCAAAACACAUAUGCACCAGAAUGAUAAUGACCAAAAAUAUUGAACGAAGGAAAAAUGAUAUCAAAGAAGAAUGCUUGCUCCUGGAAAGUUAUAAUAAUCGCUGGAAGUGGAAUAUUCAUGUGGUUCAUAAAGGUUCUUCCAUGAAUAUCCAUCUAAGUGUUUGACUUCAUUAACUUAUAUUUGAGUUUGUGCACCUUACAAACUUUUUCAUCCAUUUGAAAUCCCCUCAACUUGUGGAUUUCAACUUGGGCCAGGAAUUCCUUCUAAGUAUGCCUCACACGCAACAGCCCUUUAACUUGAGGAAGUUGGAUUCAACUUGAGAAAAUCAUACAAAAUUUAAAUCAGAUGACUAAGAAUUCUGUGAUUGCAACUGAUUGUAAUAAGUGCAGUCUAUAUAAUUGAAUGCAGAGAGCAUUAUUCUGCCAUAUGCUGUGAUUCCUGUAAUAAGGUAUGAUCUCCAUAAAUGUGUAUCUAUUUUCUGCACUAAAUCAAGUAUAGGAAAUAACCUUGUGAUUCUUAUAAGCUGUUUGAAGAAACUAUUGCGAUAUUAUUGCUGUAUAAUUUUAGUUUACCAUGCUUCUUUUAAUACUUGCCAACAAUUCUUUUCCUCAGUAACAUCCAUUAUUCUCAUAGUUACUUAUAUGUCCAUCUUCAUUGGGACAAGGAUCAUUGCCUUCAUCAAUUGUUGAUGUGUCCAGGUUUAAUACAGCUGAUUCAAAAAUGUUAUAUGACAUAUGAUGCUAUCAGUUUUUUGCAGAUUGGUUGCUCGAAUAGUAAUGCUUUUGAUAGAGGUCGAACUGUUUAUGUCGUUUGGAUUUCUGAAGUUGAAAUUCUAGUACUGAAACUCUUUUCUUCAGUAUCACAAUUUUGAUAUCCCCUUUUUUUUUAUCUCUAUAUCAUUAUUCUAUAAUGGGAAGAAAGAUCUGAAAUAGUAAGGAAGAAAUCUCAUUUUCUGAAAUAGGGAAACUAGAAAUCCCAUUUUCUUUAUUUAUCAUGAAAGUUAUACAGAAAGUGAAUUAGCAUCUAUUCUAGAUUGAUGUAUUUUUUAUACUAUUAAAUUGGUAUAAUAAGCUAAAUUGAGUUGAUUAGUCCAACUGUUGUGGACUAUGAUUUGAUUGUCCUUGGUCAAAUUGAUACCACAAAUCCUUCAAACGAGGUGUGAUUUGUGGACAUAACAUUAUUGCUCUCUUUAUCCUUGGAUACCUAUGAGAAGCAGGGUAUCGGAUGCGGUGAAUUCUAAGGUAAUGGAUACAGCAAUUCAUCAGCUAUAAUCCCUUUAUCCUGCAUUUGCGAUUACAUGGUGACUUGUUUGGAAUGCAGGUUGUCAUUGGAUUUGCGGAACUCAAGAUGCACAGAACGAUGAAACAAGAAGUAAUAGUUUUGAGGACAAGAGUUGCACUUGCAGCCUUGCAAUUUGUUGCAACAAGUUGGUUUCAUGAUGAUGUAGGGUGCAAAAGUAAUCCCAAAUGUGCAUUUGGCCAUCAUAUAAGCUAUCAAAAGUAUUUAAAGGGUGUUAGCUCUAAAAUAUGUUGAAAUUGAAUCGAAAAAAUUGAACUCAAAUUAAACCUAAAUCGAAUUGAUUCAUCAAUAAUUUAAUUUUGAAUAUUAUAAAUGGUUGUAGUUUAGGAUGGUACUUUUUGAUUUGAUUAAUCGAUUUAGAUCGAGUCGAAUUGAUUUUAAUUUAAAAAAUAUUUACUCAACCCAAACAUCUCAAACCUCUAAAAUCUUUUCCAAACUCUUAAGUGUUCAUCAUCUUUCUUUCUUCAUAUCUAUACUUCUUUCACAUCAUCCCUUUCUUAGUCUUACUCUAUCGUCUCAUAUAUAAUCUUUUUUUUUUAUCCUUCUUCGUUAAUAAUUUUUUUGUUGAUUUAUAUGAAUUCCUUUGUUAAUUUGAAUAUAUUGCUUGCAUAUCCUCAUCAUUAAGAAAAAAGGACGGCUUGUGAAGUUGUUAAUUUUCUAGGAUAUCUUUUAAUAUAAAAAUAAAAAAUCACUUGCGUCCAACUGUUUAGAAUAUUUGGAAUGAUAUUUAUGAUAUAAAUUUUUGAGAAUGUAUGUCCAAUUAGAUCAAAAUUUUAGUUUUAUUCAAUUAAACUGAUUGAUUCAUCAAACCUAAUCAGUUCGUUUGAAAUAUAUAUUAAAUUACUUAAAAUUAAAAACUGAUUACUCGAAUCAGAUUAAUCAGUUUUGAACCGAUUCAAUUAGGUACGUCUAAAAUAGUUUUGAUCUGGAGUAUCUUGAUUUAGGGGGGUGAGUGGUGUGGUGUAUGAUGAGCAAAAAUAAAGAGUAUAGUGAGAGAUGAUUGAGUGAAAGAGCUUGGGAAAGAUAAGUGGUAGAAAUGAGAAUAUUAACUUAUAUUUUCAAUCAUAACUUGUCUUCCCAAUCAGUUAACUUUGAUUAGUUUAAGAAAUGACUUAAUAAAUCUAAAUAAGUGUAAAAUAACUAUGUAAAGAUAAUCAAGUGAGGUUAGAAGGCUUGCUUUAGGUGGAAGAGGCGAAAAUAAAGAAUGCUAAGAGUUAGUCAUAAGUCAAAUACAAUUAGGGGUUUAAUCAAUUCUAUUCUUCGAAUUAAUACAUCAUAUAAACUUCAAGGGUAGGGAACAUUUCUUCCGUAAAUAACCCUUAACAUAAAUAAAAUGAUCUAAGACUUUUGGCCUUGAACGUUGAAAUGGUAAUAAAGUGGAUUGUGAUGGUACAGUAGAGGUGAUGGUGCUUAAGGUGGUGGUUAUUGAUAGGGGCUACGUUAACAAUAAUUAAUGAUUUAUAUGAUUGCUCCUUUUCGUGAUGGUGUCACUGCUAUGAUGGCGAUGAUGCUGCUGCGAUGAAAACGAAGGAGAUGGAUGGUGAGAAGAACGAGGGAAUAAGAAGAAGUAAGGAUAGGGUCUCUCGUCCGUCAGGACUAUCUUAUCAUUUAGGUCUCUUACCUAAGGUUCUUCAUGGCUACAAGCACUAAAUUCUUCAUUUAUUUAUUUCAAAAUAUGGAGGAGGGUUUACAAUACUUUUAUAAGAAUGUAUAUCCUUUGGAUGAGUGACAAAUGCCCCUUCUAGAAAAGAAGUGGGUAUGGAUCCAAAGGAUAUAGACAAGUGUCAACAAUUAGAUGAGUAUCAAAUGCUUUCUUCUAGAAGAAUGGUGGGCAAAUAUUCAUAAAAUGAGGAUAAAUGUCUAUCCUUGCAUGAAUGUCACAUACCCUCCUAAACGAGAGGGAGUUAAAGAUUCAUAGGAUGGAGACAUAUGCCCACUCCAAAAUCCCCUACCACAUGCACUUUAAGAUGUGUGCAUGAGUGUAGUGCCCGAGUCUUAUGUAUAUUAAAUUACAACUAGCAUCUCAAUAAAAAUAAAAAUAAUAUAUAUGUUACUCUCAUUUAGUAAUAUAAUUUGUGAUGUUUAUGUUUCAUUAAUAUGAUAAACGAUCGUUAAAGUUAAAGUAUAAAAUUUUCAAAAUAUGUUAUUCAUAAUGUUCUAACAAAUUUUGGUUGAGUAUGCAUAGUAUCAAUGUCUACUUUAAGCAUAUUUUAUAUUUUAUAGUAAUAAGACAAAGUGUGCUAGUGGACUUGAAUAUGAGAUAAAGUUAUGAUAAUAAAUAUUCAUAUAAUGACUAAAAGUGGGGGUUAAAAUUUAAUUGAUCUAAAGUGAAUCUCUUGAAUAAGUUUUAAACAUCAUAUAUAUAGAUAAUAAUAAGUUAUUUCGACAUAGACGAGUAACAAAAAAUUAAAUAGAAAUAUUGAGAUACAUAAGUAAGAUUAAAGAAUGAGUUUAGAUCAAAAAUGUCAUCUUUGUCAAACCAAAUUAAAUUCAAUUAAAGUUGUUUCAACCUUAUAAUUAUAUUAGUUAAGAAAAAUAAAAAACUUUAAAUAAGGUCCAAUGGGAUUGAACCAUAGACAUCAAGCUAACCUCUUAAGCACCUCUAUCUUAUUUUGAUCUCAUAAUCUUUAUCAACUUGAUAACUCAUAACCCUUUCUCUUCUUCAAUCAUUCUCUCAGUUUUUCUCAUGGAGGAUAGGAAAUCCUAUCUCAAGUUGAGGUAAAAAAAACCUAAUUCUUCCCUUGUUAUAUCUAGGAUUUUGAUUUUAUAAAUUAUAGAUUGAUCUUUUUAGUUGCUUUUGAAUAACCUUUGCUUUGAAUUUAUAUUUGAUUUUUAGACAUAUUUUAUAUAAAUCUCUUAUGGUUCUAAGGCUUUUAGUAUGACUUUAAUAUAAAAUUGGUGUAUAGAACUAUUAGUGCCCCAAUAUGAGAUACUCAGAAUCUUUUAUUUUUUGAGAAAGAGUUCUAUUUAAGCUGAUUUGACCCACUUAUGGAUAUGAUUAGAUUUUUUCUUUUGAUAUAUUUUAAAAUGUUCCCUUAGUAUUGCGUGGGAUUUGAAUACGAGUAAAUACCCCUUUGUGUAUCAAGAUAUGAGGUAUAUAAGUUCAAAUAGUCCCAACCUAAUUUCAAUGGAACAAAAUAGUUAUUGAUAAUUGAAUUAGAAGAGUAAUUUAGCCUCCAAAUGAUUCCGUUUUAAGUUAAAAAUUAGUGUGUAUUUAGUUCUAUAUAGUUUUUAAAUUUUUUUAUAACAUUUCAUGAUAAUUCAAAAUUGUGUCAUUAGUUAAAAUAAUGAAGUGAAAUUUCUUGAUUGAUAUUAGUUUAUUUAAUUAUAGAGUGAAUUGUUAAAAGAAAAUUUGGUGGUGAAAUUUUGAUGAAUUUUCAAAUUGACUAUAGUCUAUUUUAUUGAGAUUUUUAUUAAAUUUUUUCUAUAAAUUUUGUUAUGAAUUAUUAUAAAUCAAUAAUUCAAGAGAUAGAGUUCCUAAUUAAGGCAUGUCAUGAUCCUAUGCUCUCAAUUUGAUAUAUGUAUCAUUCCUUAACAUACUUAAUUAUUACAAAAUAUGAACUUUCAUUGAUAUCUUCAUUUCUGAGUUAAAUAAGAUAAGUAUAAGUCUAAUCCAUUGCAAAAUGGUGAUCAUAUAAAUUAUCAUAUUCAUAAUAUAUUUUAAAAAGUAUGUUCUAAAUGAUAUGAUUGUUAUAAGCUAGACAGCUAAAUGUGAAUAUAUAUAUAUUUUUUAAGUAUAAAAAUAUAUGAAUUGUGAUAAAAAUUAUAUUGUAUUCAUACAUAUAUGAUGACGUAUAGUGUAGGAAUGCAUAAAUAUAUUAUGAUGUACGAUGCAUGUAUAUGCUAUGAUGUACAAUAUAGGAGUGCACGUAUAUAUUAUGAUGUGUAGUAUAGAAGUGUACGUAUGUAUUAUGAUGUGUGGUGUGAGAGUGUACACGUAUGUCAUGAUAUAGGUGGUAGAUGUCCAUAAAUUUAUCAUGUUUCUUUUGCAUAUACUAUGUUGUAGGGUUAUGCUUCCGAAAAAAGUCAUACAAUUAGGUGUUUAUUGUUAAAUGUCUUAUGUUGAUGAUUUUGAAGUAUUGUAUACAUGACAUGAUAUAUGCUCACUUAAAUAAAGUUAUAAAGAUUUAUACUAAGUGAUAUUCAAUAUAGACCCUAUUUUACAUGUAAAAAUAUUAGUAUUUCGCCCAUGUGAUUGGGUAAGGAAAUGAGCACGCUUGAGCCUAUGCUACUAUAGACAUGGACAAUGACCUAUAGACAUUUGUUUAGUUAUAACUUUUUGACAUAUUGUGUGAGUGUGUUUUCCGCUUUGUUAGAUGCUAUAAUUAUGUACAAGUGUCAAAAUUACUGUGUAUAAGGGGAGCACUAUCAUUUUAUUUAAUAAAUUAAUAUGUUUUAUUUUUAAGAUUACCUACAUUCCUAUUGAUAGCAGUAAAAGAACUAGAAAGUGACAAUCUACUUUAAUCAUAUAUGUAGGGUGUGGGUGAGAUGAGAAGGGUAUUACAAUGAUAUCCCCCUUUAAUGACCCCAUAAAAGCCCAAGCUCAAUAUCUAAUAUAGUGCGGUAGAGGUAAUGACACUUAAGGUGGUGGUUGUUGACAUAAGCCUGAGUUAAUGACAAUCGAUAGCUAAUAUUGUUACUCUUUUUAGUAGUGGUGUUGUUGGUAUGAUGGGGAUGAUGUUGCUACAAUGAAAACAAAGGAGAUGGAUAGUGGGAAGGAGAGAAUUAAAAAAAGAUAGAGUAGAGUCUCUCACCCUUGAGGGCUCCCUUCUCAUUUAGGCCUCUUAUCUAAUAUUCUCCGUGGUCACAAGUACUCAAUUAUUAAUUCAUUCAUUCAUUCCUGAGAGAGGGUUUAUAAUACUUUUAUAAGGAUAUCCAUUGGAUGAGUGAUGAAGAUAAGUUUUCAUUUUUAAAUGAGUAACACAUAUUUACUUCUAAAAAAAUUAUAGAUAGGGCCUACGAGAACAAGUGUCCACCCUUAUACAAAUGUCACAUGUCCCUUUUUAGAUGGAGUUAGAUUCAUAGGAUGAAGAGAUAUGUUCACUCCAAAAUCUUCUACCAAGUGCACUUUAAGAUGUGCCUAUAACAUAUCUUUGAUGAUCAAUACAAGUCCAAACCCAAAUUCCAAUAUAAUACAAAUAUAUCUAAUGUCCAAAGUUUACUCUAAUAUAAUAAAAAAUAUUAAAUAUAAAAAUAUAUCUUGCAUUAGCAUUUAGGCUGGCUUCAUUACAAUACAAAUUUUUGGAUCAAAAUCUUGUCAUCACUAUCUAAAAUGGUUUUAAAAAUUCACUCAUUUAGAUUUAGAUCUUACUAAAUAUAGUCUAAUAGUAUAAUUUAAAAUCAUUUGAAGCCAUACAAAUUAUUCAUAUAAUUAGUAAAAGUACAUUUAAAGUUCCUAUACAUAACUAAGAAUAAUCUAAUUAAGGGACCCAUUAGUUUGACAAUCAUAGCUGAUUUAUAACCAUAAAGUUUCACAUUUUAUAUGAUAUCAUCUCCUGACAUGCAACUAUUUGAAGUUUGAAUUUUGAUGAUAUUCUUUCCGAAGCAACUUGGUCAAAAUGUAUCAAAUCAUUGAUAUUUAAAGGGACAAAACGACCAUCAUUGAAUUCAUGUUCUUGAUAAUUCUAAAAUUUAUGUCCAAAGAAAACUCUGUAUUUUCUAAUGAAAAAAUAAAUGUUAUUGAACACUUGGAAUAUUUCGUUGAGAGUCGACUUGGCAGAUAAUUUCGUAAAUUGAUGUUCAAAUUUUAAGAGUUAUGAUGCCUGCCAUGGGAAAAAAAAAUUGCAAAGCAUUUUUCACAAGUCGUAGGUUCGAUAAAAAUUUUUAUAUCAACUAUUCUAUUUUCAUUAUAUCUUUUUUAGAAUUAAAAUAUUAGUUUGAUAUUGAUACACUAUACUCAUCUAUCAAAUGUUGAGUAUUUGAAAUUUGAUCAUAUCAAUUAGGCAUCAACAAGAUCUUGGAUCAAAUUCCACCUUCACAUACUAUUCACCUUAGUGCAACACCAAUAAACUAAUGCCAUCGGUUUCAUGUAUAUCGAAAUAGGUAUAUCUAUAAACAUGAGGAUGAUUGGGAGACACGUCAUUCGUAAAUCGGAACAGAGCUUGUAGAUUUGGACUCACCCACAGAUUUGAUGAAGUAAUCAUAUGAUGUGGAUCAGGAUCGAGCCGAGAAAUGUUGACUGGCCAACAGGGCCGAGUCCAAAUUGGGUUGGGGGGUCAAUCGAUUUGCUAGUCAAAAUCGCAAUCAUGUAUAUUUGACACACCAACGGUAUUAGGGGACCGGAAGGUGGCCAUGUUCACAUGUUCGUGGGAAAGUAGGGGUUUGACGAAAGGGAACGGUCCUAAUUGAUGAUGCGAAAAGAACGAAGAAGAAUAACAACAGAAUUUUUUUUGUUUACUUAAAUUCAAUCAUGCAUUAUAACUAUAUAUAAAAAAGUCUUUAUUAUUGUGCUUUUAUGCUCUCUUAAUUAGUUUUUACUUACAGAUAUUAUUUUUUUAUCAUUUUAACGAAAAUAGUCCUUCGUCCUCCACCCAUCGUUCCAAUCAUUGGUAUGUAUAUCAUUAUCGUCUCGAUCCACUACGAAUGGUGUUGUUUGUAUCUUUCGUCGUCUUUAUCUCUACUCCAUUGACAAUCAUAUUAUUCGUCACACCCUCCUCUUUCUUUGCCAUUAAUCAUUCGUUGUUGUUUGUUGUAUUCUCCUACUCAUCUCUUCCUUGUAUGCAAUAUUCGUCUAUUAGAGUCCUAUACUCCCAUUGCAAGUGGAGUGAUGAGGAAGGAGGGAGAGGACAAAAAAAACCAUAGGCUACACCACUCGUAAUGGAGGCAGUCUAUCGAUAAUUGAGAGUAAUUAGUGAAAGAUAAAUGAAUUUUUCAAUCAAAUUAAUAAAAAAAUUAAAAAAAUACUCAAUUUAAUUAUAGCAAAUUUUGAAGUAACAUAUUUAGUCUAUCCACUAUCCAUAAAAUAUUAAGAUAUUUAUUAAUAUAUAUUAAUAAUAAAGAUAAUCAUUAUUAAAUAUGAUUAUUAAGAGUCAUAAUACUUAUAUUUCUUUAACAAAUGUUAAAGAGCAGGAAGCUCAAUUAAUAUUUUAAUAUAUAUAUAUACAUAUAUUAUACAUAAAUAUGAUCCUUGCACUUAAAAUAAUAUAUUAUCAAUGAAGCAUAUACGUCACCAAUUAGUAAUUAUUAUUAAACAUGAUUAUUGAGACUUAUUACUUUAAAGGAUACUAAUAUCAAUUAAUAUUCAUAUAUAUAUAUAUAUAUUAUUGAGAGUUAUAAGACUUUAAAUUUUCUUGCCAACUUUUGAAGGGUACUUAUAUCAAUUAAAAAAUCAAUUAAUAUCUUGAUACGUGGACAUGUACGUCGACAUAUACAUUACUCGGGUAAAUAUAUAAAUCACUAACUUUAGAAGGAUAAAAAAUAAAGAAUAAACGGACAAAAAAUACGACCAACGAAGGAAAGAUAGCGACGAGGAAGCGCCCCCAAACCGGCGACAAAAGAAGGGAAUAGAAACGGUACCUUCUUCCCCGAUCUCCCUCUCCUUUCCGAUCGAUCCCUUUCACUCCUCUCCAUGGCCACGCACUCUCUGCCUCUCCUCCCCCUCCUCCUCCUCCUUUCCGCCUUCUCCGUCCCGGUUCCUCGAUCCUCUGCCGCUGCGGCGGCAACGUCGGAAGCGCCUUUCUGCCCCCGAUCCGACCUCGCCUUCGUCGGCGGCCUCAUAGCGCAAUGCCCUCGCUGGAUCGAGCUGUCUUUCCCCCUGGAGGUACGCUUUAUUUACUCCCUUCUUCUUGCCGUUGAAAGAUCAGUCCCUUUCGCUCGAUGACAUCUUCCUCUUCGCUAUUGGUCUUGGAGUUUUGAUGAUUCCGCAUAAGUCGUUCGAAUCCAGGGCCUGAUUCAUCUGCAAUAGGAUUUUGUAGGUCUGGAUCUGUUCUUCUGAUAUCAACGGUGGCAGAAUCGUAAUUAUAAGGAUGUGACGUUUUAUCUGAGUAUAGCAUUCGUUAAUGCAAGAUGUUCUGAAUAGUGCUAACGCGAAAAUAUACUGAUCUUUCUGAUCUUUUCACUUUUGUUACAAGUUGGGGUAGUCGAUUAAUAUGGUUGUUCUGUUUCUAUGCAUAAAAUAUGCUACUAAUGCGUGCACAGAUGAAAAUAAGAAGCCCACUGAGACAUGCCUUGAUGUUGAGCAGUUAGCUUUACACUAUCUUACAGUUGAUUGAGCCUAGAAUUAUGUAUUGCAUGCAUUAGUUCCUCAUAUGUGAUUAAUCUGCUGAAAUAUUUGCUCUUCAUUGGGUUUUUGUUGAUGCCAACUUAAGAUGAACUGAGAAAGGGGAGAAAAGGAGAUUAAAAAUUUUCUAGAACAGUACAGUCUCAGUUCUCUAUUGGUCCUCAGCUAAAUUUUCAAUUAUUACCCAUGGACCAAGUAUGUGUAGUGUGAUGAAUUGAGAAAAGGGAGAAAAAUGAGAUUAAAAAUUGUCUAGAACAGUACAGUUCCAGUUUUAUAACUGUCAGAAAUAGGAUGAUGGACUCACACCUGUAUUGGUCCCCAACUAAAUUUUCAAUUACUACCCAUGGACCAAAUAUGUGUAGUAUUUGAUAUAAUCUUCUCUUUUCUUGUUGUUAGUGGCAUAAUUAGAUGGUUCUGUGUCAUUAUUUUUGUCAAGCAGAGUGUGACUUUGAAUUACUAAUUAAUUCUGAAUUGGUUGUGGCUGACAAAAUUUCUUGGGAACUGCUUUGAAACCAUAUAGUGAAAUACCUUACAGCAUAGAACUUCUCACAAUAGUUUGUUGCUGAUUCAGUGGUCUAUGCUAUCAAGCUAACUAAUAUCUUUAUACCUUAUUGAGUUUGUACUAGUCAGGGCCAUAUAUUUUUAAUUUAAAUUAAAUUAAAAACUUUCAGCAUAGAAAUCGGGAACCAGAUGUUUAACCUAAUAUGCUGGUGCAUAGGAUAUGGAAGCAUAACCAUCACAUGCUUUUGCAGACGGUCUACUUGUUUGUUGAGACUUGGAUGAGAAACACUUCAAUUCUUUUUGAGAUAUUUGAAGCUUUAAACAGUAUCAUAGUAUAAAGAAUGUGAUCUCUUUUUGUGAUUGCUUUGGUAAAUUUUUAUUUGCUUUUCCUCAAAAGUGUAACGUGGUUGAACUUUAUAGGUGCAUUGUUCAAUUUUUGUUGGAAAUUGAUAUGAGACAUAUGCAUAAAUAUAGUUAACUACCCAAAUAGUUUAUAACUUUAAUGAGUGUGCCUUUAUGAUUAAUAGAGCCUUGCUGUAGUCUUAGACAUGCAUUUUCAGAAGAUAAAAUCAUAACAUUAGAGAAAGCCUUUUUUGAUUAAAAUGAUAAAAGUCAAAUAUUUGGCCCUUCGAUCAUCUGGUGACAUCCUUGGAUGAAACUAAAUUGUUGAAACGAUAUAUGCACACACGCAUGUGCAUGCACUUAUGCACACACACACAUACACACACCACAUACAUUGAAUGAGAAAAACUGAUCGUGUAUAUUUGUUGGAUCAUAUGUUACUUCAGCCAAAAAAAUAACAAAAAAUUGCAAAAACUUUUUUUUUUUUGGAGCUAUUCUUUCAAUUUGCAAUACUAUGGCCGAAUUGAAAGGUGAUAAAACAUUAAUUGUGGAGAUACAUCCUUGAUACUGACAUAGUGUUUCUUUCUUUGAUGAGGGAAAAUUUGGUACUAUUGAAGAAUUUGGAGUAUGUAGCAUGUGGAAACAAAGAAUCUAAGAUGUUGUGUGUAUCGUUAGAAAGUAGUAACAGGUAAUACUCAUCAAAAGGAGAAAAAAGAAGAGAUUGAGAGAAAAAAAAUGAUGAGAGCAACUAUAAGCACUUUUCAGUAAUAUGAAAUCCCUCAGAAUUUCAUAAAACCAUUUCUUGAUAGCAUUUAUGAACUUCUCAUGUGGCUACUAGUUCUAGAAACUAUUGAUCCAGAAGAUAUGUCUACAGUAAGUAUUCCUGUAGUUCUUCAACUGGAAAAUGAGAGUUUUGCUUAAAGUUUUUCACCAAUUAUACUCUUAGGAGUAUCUAAACUUAUAUGAAUGUUGAUUGCAUCUUGGAGAGAUUUUUUUCUGUGAAGCAAAGAUCAAUUGAGAGUUCAUAUAUCUUUGAAUAGUUGUUAUUUUUAGAAAUUAAGCGGCUCAUUAUAUCUUAAUGUCCUUUCAUGCUGUUGUAAUUUCAUAUUAAGUAGCACAACAUAAGCACCUGACUUAUUCAGCAUAGACAUUGAUUCUUUCUAUGGUUAUUAACAUAUAUCAAAACACCACCGGAAUCUAAGGAUUACCUGCAAUGACUUCCAUGCCUUUCAUCAUAAUUGCCCAUCAUCAUAACUUUCUUACCAUAUAUCUAAACUUUGCUCUAGAUCAGCACUGUAGGUCAAUGUCCAAGAUAUGAUCUGAAGUAAUUCUAAAAUGUAGUUUUUCAGCCAAUCAGGCUGAAUUUGGGAUGAAUAUAUAUAGAAAUAUUGAUACAAGUGAACAUCAUUUAGGCUGGUAGGCAAAGAAUCAUUAACUCAAAAGCUUCUGACAACAACAAUGAUGACAAAAAAGUCGUAAAAUCUCAAUUAUUUGAAGUCGGUUACAUGGAUAUUUUGUGGUCAUUGAGAUCUAUAAAAAAUCAUAUGUUUAGUUAAGUUAGAACAUUUAAAUCUUAAUUUAUAGUUUAUAUUAAGAUCUUCCUAUACUUCUUCUUAUACCAUUGAUAGUAAUUAUUUCACCUCUUAACUAUCGCAUUUGUAGGUCUCGGUUUUAAGUACAUAUCUAUAAACGAUUAUUUCUCAUCUUAUCCUAUAUCAAGUUGAUACCUAAUUAUUCAUGAAUAAAACCAUUUCUUUCCCUAUCUUUCCUAUUAUAUCCACACAUUCACCUCAAUAUUCUCAUCUCAGCGGAACAUAUUUUUUAUAUAUGUUGUUUCUUAGUUGCCACACACAUCCAACAAAUUAUUUUAUUGUUUCUAAUAAAAAAAUUCUUUUAGCCUUAAAGGUAUCUAAUGAUCACAUAAUAUAUGUAUUUUAACCAUAUUAUAUAUUAACCAAUUGAGAAAGAGGAGAAUAAACUUUUUUUAACAAUGUUACAUAUCCUCCAUCACUUUGUUUCCUUUUCUUCUCUCCAUGUGAAUAAAUGGGGUUACUGCUCCAUAUGUGUAUGUUCAACUUAUUGUAAUUUAGCAUACCUUACUAACAUCCUUGAUUGAUCUAUCUUAAAAGCGAGUAGCAAAUUUAGUUAACCAUGUGGUAUUUUAAUCUUAUCUUAUACCUUUGUGAAGCUAAAAUAUAUUGUCGUCUAACCCAUUAAACCAAUAUGAAAAAGUUUUAUAAAAUAACUCAAGACCUAAUGAAAAUGAAGAAUUUUAUGAUAUGAUCUUUAACAUCUUGGCAUCUUUGUUGUAGUUUCAAUUGUUUUACUAAUGUUUGAACCAAGGUAUGCAAUUUCGUACCGUACCGGAGUUUCGACGCUUGUUCGGUAUGGUACGAAAUUGUAUACCAUUCGGUAUACCGCUCGGUAUACCAUUCGGUAUACCGUUCGGUAUAUAUAUAUAUGUAUAAAUUAUAUAUAUAUGUAUGUAUAAAUUAUAUAUAUAUAUUUUUUAUAAAAGGCGACGUCGCCUUUUCCUUCUCCCACNNNNNNNNNNNNNNNNNNNNNNNNNNNNNNNNNNNNNNNNNNNNNNNNNNNNNNNNNNNNNNNNNNNNNNNNNNNNNNNNNNNNNNNNNNNNNNNNNNNNNNNNNNNNNNNNNNNNNNNNNNNNNNNNNNNNNNNNNNNNNNNNNNNNNNNNNNNNNNNNNNNNNNNNNNNNNNNNNNNNNNNNNNNNNNNNNNNNNNNNNNNNNNNNNNNNNNNNNNNNNNNNNNNNNNNNNNNNNNNNNNNNNNNNNNNNNNNNNNNNNNNNNNNNNNNNNNNNNNNNNNNNNNNNNNNNNNNNNNNNNNNNNNNNNNNNNNNNNNNNNNNNNNNNNNNNNNNNNNNNNNNNNNNNNNNNNNNNNNNNNNNNNNNNNNNNNNNNNNNNNNNNNNNNNNNNNNNNNNNNNNNNNNNNNNNNNNNNNNNNNNNNNNNNNNNNNNNNNNNNNNNNNNNNNNNNNNNNNNNNNNNNNNNNNNNNNNNNNNNNNNNNNNNNNNNNNNNNNNNNNNNNNNNNNNNNNNNNNNNNNNNNNNNNNNNNNNNNNNNNNNNNNNNNNNNNNNNNNNNNNNNNNNNNNNNNNNNNNNNNNNNNNNNNNNNNNNNNNNNNNNNNNNNNNNNNNNNNNNNNNNNNNNNNNNNNNNNNNNNNNNNNNNNNNNNNNNNNNNNNNNNNNNNNNNNNNNNNNNNNNNNNNNNNNNNNNNNNNNNNNNNNNNNNNNNNNNNNNNNNNNNNNNNNNNNNNNNNNNNNNNNNNNNNNNNNNNNNNNNNNNNNNNNNNNNNNNNNNNNNNNNNNNNNNNNNNNNNNNNNNNNNNNNNNNNNNNNNNNNNNNNNNNNNNNNNNNNNNNNNNNNNNNNNNNNNNNNNNNNNNNNNNNNNNNNNNNNNNNNNNNNNNNNNNNNNNNNNNNNNNNNNNNNNNNNNNNNNNNNNNNNNNNNNNNNNNNNNNNNNNNNNNNNNNNNNNNNNNNNNNNNNNNNNNNNNNNNNNNNNNNNNNNNNNNNNNNNNNNNNNNNNNNNNNNNNNNNNNNNNNNNNNNNNNNNNNNNNNNNNNNNNNNNNNNNNNNNNNNNNNNNNNNNNNNNNNNNNNNNNNNNNNNNGCGGGCGACAUCGCCUCGUUUAUAUAUAUAUAUAUAUAUAUAUAUAUAUAUAUAUAUAUUUAUAUAUAAAUAUUUAUAUAUAAAUAUUCUUAUAUAUAAGGCAACGUCGCGUCGCCGAAAAAGGCGACGCGAUGUCACCUUUUAUAAUAUAUAUAUAUUAAUAUAUAUAUAUUUCGUUCCGUCCGAUAACGGGUUGUCACGGCCUUAGCUGGAAUUGCCUAAGGCGUGAGGCACCCUUGCGGCAAAGAUGCGAACUUAGCUUGCGUUGCCUAAGUCGCGAGGCACUCUUGCGGCAAAGACGCGAACUUAGCUUGCGUUGCCUAAGUCGCGCUUCACCGCUGCAAUUUGCGUCCGCAAAAAUUAGCCCAACCUCUCGCAGGUCCCGAAGGACCUGUAAAAGAGAAAGUUGAUUAGCUCGAAGAACGAGCGACAGACAAGUCCCGACGUAUCGCGAAAAGGGGAAGCUUUACAAGUAAUUCAGCGAGCACUUUGCGUGCCCAAGAGAAAAGAGGGAGAGGGGGAAAACAAGGACUUUAGAAGGUUGAACGAACAAUUGCAAGCAGUGUCUGCAAUACCGGACUGUACCGCCCGGUACGAGCGGUACGUACCGGUCCGAGAGGUUAUCUGUACGCGGACCGCCCGUUACCGGGCGGAACGAAUAAUAAUAAUAAAAUUAUAUAUAUAUAUAUAUAUAUAAUUUAAAUAAUCGAGGCGACGCAGCGCCUUUUGCGGCGACGUUGCCGAGGCGACACGACGUCGCCGAGGCGAUACGACGUCGCCUUUUUCGGCGACGUCGUCGAGGCGACGCAACGUCACCAAGGCGACACGACGUCGCCUUUUUCAGCGACGUCGCCGAGGUAUAUAUAUAUAUAUAUAUAUAUAUAUAUAUAUAUAUAAUUUAAAUAAACGUCACCUCGGCGACGUUGCCCCGUGUGGGGAAUGAAAAGGCGACGUCGCCGAGGCGAUGCGACGUCAGCCAAUAAAUAAAUAAAAAAUAAAUAUAAUAUAUAUAUCGAACGGUAUACCGCUCGGUAUACCGAGCGGUAUACCGUUCCGUACCGUACCGAGCGAUCGUCGAAAUUCCGGUACGGUACGAAAUUUCAGACCUUGACUGCAAGUCCACAAGCAGCUGCUCACCGGGUGCCGAGCGCGACAACAAGUUCCCGUCAAGGUAACGUGCGAACUUGCGAAAGAGUGUUCAACUCCCGGCACUAUACCGAAGCCCCAUCCAGCCCUGUGCCACUCGGGUGGUUCUAGGGUGCUGAGAUGGUUGACGUUUCGCGUGCAAUAGCGGGCUGCAGAAAUCAACCCGUGGCACGCGAAAACGGAGCUAUUUUGGGGCUGUUUUGCUCGGUUCGGUGAGCGAUCGCACUGUAGCGCUGCAACUUGUUCGAACUUACAUUUUUACAAGCAAAAUGACUCAAAACCAAGACAAAACAUGCUGCCAAGCAACUGUACAUGUAGAUGAGAGCGAUGAACGAUUCGUUGAACGGAGUUAUUGCGGGUGCACGACGACCGUUCGUGACAGGGCGGUUCGUGUACAGUUAAGCUGAUGAACCGGUAUGUACCGCUCGUACUGGGCGGUAUUAUUCUAAAUUGCAUACCUUGGUUUGAACAUAUUGCUGCUGUCUCACUCCUUGAUAAUCUCAUUUCUUCUCCAUACAAGACCAUUCUAAGCAAUUUUUUGACUCAACUAACUAGUUGAUUGUCUAUUUAAAGAAAUGAUAAUUAACAAUUUAUGACAUGCCACUAUUCUGAAAUUUCAUUCUAAUUUAUUGUAUCAAAUUUUGAUUAAAGGUUGUAGAUGAGUUAAACUGUCUGUUAGGUUAUUAUUGUAUGUUCUUCAAUUUGUUUGUUCUUUACCCUCCAAGAAAAUGCAGUUUGACUGUGGUUGUUUAAAUCCUGAGGUUCAGCCUAAAGGAAAUUAAUUUUGAACCUCACGUUAAAAGGUAUUACUCACUUUUUGGCUUUGUUUAUAAUACUAAUAAGAUGGGAUGGUUAGAAUGACAAGUGAUGAACAACUUGUUAUAAGCAACGUAACAUGAAACAAGAAUAUCAGUGCUAUAGGCAUACCUGGCAAUUAAUCAUGUUUAUAUAAUCAUGUAUUAAAAAAAUCUUUUCAAAUGACUGGUUUCUUAAAUCCAUAGACAUGUAUGCUUCGUUUUCAUUUGAAGAUAUAAGGUACAAAGACUUCUACAAAAUUUUAAAAAUCAUUUAGUUGCAUAUGCUUGUUGGAAUAAACAAAAUUCUUUCUAAGCUUCUUACUUGGGAGCAGUGAUUACAAUAGGCGCUCGGGUGAGGCGAGGCGAGGCCCAAGCGUCUUGCUUUGAAGCGCGCCGCCUCGGCACUCACUCGAGCCCAGGCGCUAGGUGCUUCGGGCGAGCGCUUGGGUUAAACCGGGCGACCGAACCAGAUUUUAGGUCUGGUUGGUCUCCGGUGCUUUAGUUGGUUCAAUCGAACCAACUAAAUCACCGAUAUCAGGCUCCCUCUCGCGAUUUCUCUGACUUCCCCAACUCUAACACUCGUGAUUUUGCCGCCGAGAUUUCUUCUCAGCUGUCGCUGCUCGUCGCUAUUGUCGCUACUCGUCGUUGCCACAAUCGCUGCUCGCUAACUGCUCGCCGCUGCCAUAAUCGCUUGUCACUGUCGCUCGUCGCUCCCGCUCCCACUCCCGCUAUCGCUCCUGCUACCGCUGUCACCUGCUACCGCUGCCGUUGCCUUAGCAGCCUCGGUCUUCUCACACUCUUCUCACUAUACUGUUAACAGUAUAUUAACAGUAUACUGCUAACUGUAUACUAAUAAUAGUAUUUUUAUUUAUUAGAUUAAUAAUAUAUGAUUUUGAUUUUAAUAUUAUUAAUUUUUAUCUAUUUAAAAUUAUUGUUAGGUUUCAGAAUAAAUGACAAGUGUAUAGAGCAACUCAAUAGAUUUGAUGUAAAAUUUUAUUGUUUUAAUUUUUGAGAUUUUUUAUUAAUGUGACAUUGUGAUUUUGUACCAUAUUUUCUUAAUUUAAUAGCAUAUUUUUUAUUUAAAUAAUUAUAUUUAUUAAUUAUAUUAUAUAUUUUUAUAUUUUAGCGUCUCGCUUCGCUCGGGCGAGCGCAUAGCGCCUCGGGCGUUUUUGGAUAUUGGCGCCUUUUGGCGCCUAGCGCUUUUUAAAUCACUGCUUGGGAGUAUAGUUCACAUUGGAUAUCGUUUUCUUUCAAGAGAAUAAGAAAUGUCAUCAAGCUACAUAAGGAGUGUGUGAGCAUCAAUUGAAAGUCUGGUUUGUACAUUUACUGUCUAGAAUGGAUUUGGUGAAAAGAGUUGGUUAAUUUGUGUUAAAGAAUUUAGGAAACAGAAGAGGUAGCUUAUGAGGUGCAUAUGUUCAAGUCUUUAGAAAAGCAUAGAAUAAUACCAGGUAGGACCUAGAAAUCCAACUGCUGGUUUUAAGGAGAAGACCAAUGGUCAUGUUUAUGUUCAUUAAAUGAAGAGACUUUUUUUUUCUUCUUGGAUGAAAGAUGUUGAUGAUGACCUAUUUGACAGACGUAAAUUUUUGAACCCUAAACUCUAAAAUUUUGAACCUAAAUAGGGAUUGUAGACGAUCUGAUGGCAGUUUUGUCAUAUAUUUAAUUCUCUCAGGAGGCACAAUCUUUGAGUUAUUUCUUUCUAAUUAAGGUGGAGUUCCACUUGAUGGAGUAUGCAAUAAAUAAUUUUUUGUUCAUCUAAUGGAGCCUAGGUUCAAGGCAGAGUGCAUGCCCAUAUUGAAGCAAUGUUAUCCUGAAAUGAGAGUUUGCUAGAAAGAACCUUGAAAGGUGAAUUGAAUUUAAAAUGAGAUGCGCUUACCAUUUAGUAAUAUCUAAAUAAUCGAAAUAUAAAUUUUUACUUAUAAGAUGGGUUAGAUAGUCAAAUUUUGUGUUAAUUUCAAGAUGCAUUUACAGAAAGGUUGUGGUUUCAACGUCUUGCAUAAGCGAUAGAAAAGAGGAACUUUCUAGGUAGAAUGCCUCGACAAUAACAAACUCUCACACAUCAAAGUAUUAUUAGUUAUAAUGCCAAUACUCAUAUAUGUCAGGUCUCCAUACCACAUAUACUUAUUCAGUUUCUAGACAUUUUAGAUUUAAAAAAUUGAACUCCAUGGUCGUGAAAUAUAAAAUAUAAAAUAAGUAUAAUAUCAAACAUUGACAAUGAGAUUGUGCAGAAAUGAUAAAGUUUUAGCAACAAUUAGUCAUACACACUUAGCAAUUUGUCAGCAAUAAAGACAAAAUCCUUAUUGUUAUAAAGCAAUUUAGGCACUUGACCAUUUUAAAGGACCCGUAGGAGUGCACCUAAUUGAAGUCAUGAAUAUCAAUUGAGUUGAGGCUUAUUACAAUCAGUCUCGGUGCACCUCUUGCCUGGUCAAACCUUUACAUCUAUAAUAACACUGUAUAUGAAGAAGUUUCUUUUAACACAAAUUUUUUGGUUUUACUUUAUAAAAAAAAAUGAGUAGGAUAUAAAUUUCAGUUUCUCCAACAAAUUAAAACAAAUCUGUGUCUGUAUCAAAUAUAUCAUGGAUACACAUAUUCAUGUGAUAUGUGCUGAGUAGAUGUCAGUAGGGUUUGCCUUACCAGUAGGAUGGUGAUAUGGUAUGUGUCGCUCCAUAAUGACCUACCGUGUGUUGGUAUGGUGGGGCAUACCAAUGGCACAGAAAAAUGGUAAAAAAUGACUUCAAAAUUUUUUGAAAAAUAAAGAAAUGUUAGAUUAGUGUUUUUAAGUUGAAAAUAAAUAUAAAUUUAGUAUAAUUUUAGCAAAAAUAAUCUAAAUUAGGAAAGAAUAGUGGUAUAUAGGUGUUAAUCCUCCCUAAUUAGCUUUCUAAGUUUGAUUUAGUCUAAGAAUCGUAGCUUUGUGGAGUUCAAGAGAGUGCAAAUGGGAGACUGAGAGAAAUACGUGAGUAGAAAGUGAUUGAUAGAGUAGAUGAGUUAGAGAGGGUGAAAGGGGAGAGAACGAGGAGGUAGAAAGGGUUUAAAAACCCUAAAUCUAGUUUAAACGAUCAAAUGGACUAUUUAAAUUCAACAAAUCCCAACCAUUAAUCGGUAUCGAUUGAAAUUCGAUUGUUACUGAUCGGUACAGGUCAGUAACGAUCGGAUUUGAUCGUUACGACUGGUACAGAUGCUGUAUCGAGUGAUACGGGGUCCCCUGUUAUGGUCCACCUGGUACAGGACGGUUCACGUAUCGAUCCCUGGUUGAACUGGUACAUAUUGCCCAUACCGCCCGCUAUAGGUCGACAUGGCAAACCAUGGAUGUCAAAUAUAUUGUUGAUUCAUUAAAGUGUCUUUCUUUUAAGUUAACAUAAUAAAGUGCGAUACCGUUAUAUUCUUCAUACUUUUUUAGGAGGUAUAAUUGGUCAUCUUUCUUUUUUGACUAGAUAAUUUGUCAACAUUAGUUUUUGUGAUGUACAUAACAUUUUAUGGUACAAAUUUACAAUAUGGAUGAAGGGAUUUUGUGAUAUACAUAACAUUUUAUGAUACAAAUUCACAAUCUGGAUGAAGGGAUUUUUUUGCAUAUUAUUUCUUGUUUGGUGUAAGAUUCUGUUACAAAUUAGUUUUUGUGAUAUACAUAACAUUUUAUGGUACAAGUUCACAAUAUGGAUGAAGGGAUUUUUUUGCAUAUUAUUUCUUGUUUGGUGUAAGAUUCUGUUACAAAUUAGUUUUUGUGAUAUACAUAACAUUUUAUGGUACAAGUUCACAAUAUGGAUGAAGGGAUUUUUUUGCAUAUUAUUUCUUGUUUGGUGUAAGAUUCUGUCAAUCUCAGAGCAUUUUAUCUUGAAAUAAAGGAUGCUCAUAAUUGGUUCCCUAAGGUUCAAGUAUGCUCCUACACUUAUGCAUGCCAGUUUUUGCAGCUAAUAGUAUGCUUGUUAUCUGUAAUAAAGCUCAUGAUAUGCUAACAGAGUUAUUUCUAUAAAUGUAUUUCACUUUGUCAUCUGUUCUCUUUUCCCCAAUAUUUCAGUUUCUUGUAAUGACGUACACUUUGAUUCAUAUUGCAUUCUUGUCUGUAUUUUCAUGGUUCUCUGGUGGUCUCUCUGAGUCAUGAGAUUAUUUUAUUAUACCCAAAAAGAAAAACACUUAACUAUUAAAUCUGCUAUCGUCUUUUGCACCUUUGUUGUUUAUUUGGAGCAUAAAUUGAUCUGAUGUUGUCCCUUUUGUUCUUUAAGGUGGAUGGGGAGUCUCUUGACAGAGAGUUGAUUCAUGGUGAGAGUAAAGGUUAUUACUCUGUACUGUUCUAUGCUUCAUGGUGUCCAUUCUCGGACAAUAUUCGUCCUACUUUUAAUGUUCUUAGUUCCAUGUUUCCCCAAAUAAAGCACUUGUUAGCGGAUGAAUCUUCUACAAUGCCAAGGUAUCCAUUAUACUCAUAUAUGUCAGUUUGCUGCAUCCAGAUAUUGCUUAUUCCUUUUUAGUGUUUGACUAUUCUAUUUCUGGUUGGUUUCUGCUCUCACACAUUGCAGUAUUCUCUCGAGAUAUGGUAUUCACAGCUUUCCAGCUAUUGUUCUCUCCAACCAGACAGCAACUAUUCGAUACCGUGGUCCCAAGGAUAUCGAUACUCUCAUCCAAUUUUACAAGAAAACUACAGGUUUGUUGACACUAGCUUUUCUUGCAAUCAUUUUCUUUCUACCUGAGUGUUGCACAUCUUGAUGUUUCUCUUCGAUCUUUGCUGAAACCUUCUAGGCAUAUGAGAUGCAAGAUCAAGUGGUUAAUCCCGAAGGAUUUGUUUAGGUUGUGUUAAGGUCCAGUUUCUGUCAUGAGAUUGAUUGUCCUUCUGGUUUACUUUGAGAUAGAAAGAUAUGCUAGCUGUUUAGUGGGAGAGAAUAUCCAUUCAAAGAGAUCAUCAUGUCUUAUAGUUACUUCUGGUCGUACUAGUGUAUGCUCGUCUGUAUCACAUGAUUGAUUGUAGAAGAAAAAAAUUGUACCAAGCACCAUCUUUGGGUCCCUUUUCACAUCAUAAUUUUCUUGUUAUGCACAGGUUUCGAUCCAGUUGAACGCUUGGUCGUCGACCAGCCUGCUAAUUUAGGAAAUGUGAGAUCCCUAAUGCAUCAGGUGGAAUCUCUAAGGGAGUUGAUAACCACGGAGCCAUAUCUGGUGCUUGGAGUGCUUUUCAUCUGCCUGAAGCUAGUCCUGUCUGUCUUACCUGUUGUUUACUCCCAUCUCAAGGCUCUCUGGGUCUCACAUGGCUGGCAUCUCAACCUGCCCAUCCUUUGUGAACCAAGUCAGUUGUUGGUAAGAGUGCUGCAUGGAAUUGACGUCAAUAAACUGUGGAACAAGGUUAAGCUGGGUAAUAAGACUAUGAAUUUGAGGAAGGGUGCAAACAAUGCUCGUGCCUGGGCUUCUACCCUAACCUCUGUCUCACUAGGUGAGUCCUCCUCCCCCUCCUCUUCCUCCUCCUCAAGACUAAUAACCCCUUGUGACUCAUGACUCUUUUCCUGUGUCCUUUGGAGAAAGCCAAAAAGAGGUGGGUGCUUUUGUAACCUCAGAAGUCUGUGUCAUUUGCUAUUCUCCAUCAAUGUAAAUGUUGUCUGUGCCUCUUUUGAAGAUUGGGUAAUGGGAAGAAAGGUCUCAUGUAAAAUUUUGAGUGUUACAUCUCUCUCUUUGUGUAUUGGAUACGUUUAUACAGUAUCUCUUUUAUUAAUUCUAUGAAAUAUUUUUAUUAGAUAUGAUAGCGGGUUGGGUAUCCAUGAAAUUUAGGUGCCUGAACCUAAGUUUGAACACAAUUUGGGUACUUGAUUUCCUAUCUUGAACUUGUCUCAAGCCCGAUCGUUGUGCACAUAAAUAUGAUUUGAGCUGGUUGGAUAGUCGUGGGUCUAUCGUCCACUCAGGAAUUCUUGUCGAAUAAUUGGGUGGGGUAUUUGCAUGAGUACAAAUUUGGACUUGACUUGGGAAUCUGAUUUUUUUUUAUCUAAAACUUUAUCCUAAAUUCGAUUAAGGGGUACUGAAACCCAUUUUGUUUAAAUGGAUUGCAUAGAGAUCAAAUAUCCAAAGAACAAAAACCAUCUUUACGGUACUAAAACCAUCUUUACGGUUUGUGCAUUGAUUGACAUUUAUUCCUGGCUCAAGAUUCUGGAAAAGGAACAGUACUGUUGUUUCUCAUCAUCCAGAGGUGCCUUUUUAAGGUCUCGAAGAACAGAUUGAAUGUUAAGAAGAUUAGUCAUUCAUAGUGUAUGCAUUGUUUUUAUAGUGUCUAACCAAAAGAAAAUUGAUGACAUCCAUGUAAGCAAAUUCAUGUAACCAAUUAUGCAUCUCUAUCUUGAUUGGACUGCAAAAACUAGUCAUCAGAAAUGAAGGCUGGAUCCUUCGUAGGAUGUAAGAGGGAAAUUAAUUGGGUUUAUUGGACAAGAAUGGAUGUAUAACUGUUUUCUAUUCAAUUCAGUCUUUAAUUGAAUUGUUUUCUCUAUAACAAUGCACAAAAGUUAAUGAAAUGAUUGGCAUCUGAUAUAAGAUCUCUAAUAUUUUUUAAAUAAAAUCUAUUUUUAUUAUAUUAAAUAUUAUAUAUGAUUUUCACAUGAGACUCGAAUACGAGAUCUAUCAUUUUAUAUAAUAACAAUGUACUAACUCGGAUAUCUCAUUGAUCAUUUUAUAUAAUAACAAUAUACUAACUCGGAUAUCUUAUUGAUCAUUUUAUAUAAUAACAAUGUACUAACUCGGAUAUCUCGUUGAUCAUUUUAUAUAAUAACAAUGUAGGAUAUCUCAUUGAUCAUUUUAUAUAAUAACAAUUUACUAACUCGGAUAUCUCAUUGAUCAUUUUAUAUAAUAAGGAAAGAUAUUUCUUUCCUGAAUAGUGGCCACCUUGCUUUCCCAGUCUUCUUUUCGCUUUUGAUAGUCUUUAUCUAUCCACAUCCCAUCUCCCAUCUCCGUCAGAACUGAUUCUAACCCAAGGCUCAAGCAAACCCCACAUGACUCCAAUUUCCAAAUGAGAAUCUCCUCUGGGAGAAAGCAAAAGAAGUAUGAAAUCAUCACUGGUUGGAAGAUGGAAUGUGUCCAUUUGCUUCGUUGGUUUGUUUGAUGACAAAUAAAUUAUUCAGGUGGGGAUAGGCUCUGAAGCUAUUAAACAAUAAAUAAUAUUGCAAAGAUUUAGGAUUAGUAGUUAUUUUAUUUUAUUCCACAAUGAUUUACAAGAAGGCAAAAUAAUUGUACUGUUAUUAGUUUGAACUCAAACAUUUUGACUUGAUAAGAUGAACAGAAUCAGUAUUAGAUUUUUGAAACUUGUGAAUGAGGGCUGAAAUGCAAUACAGAGAAUGACGUGCGACUCGCUCAGCCUAUCACCUGCAAAUUUAUCUUUCUCAUGCACGAGACAGGUGUGGUGAGGCUACGAUACAUGUCUCAUCGGUAGAAGCCAUCGACGAAAGCUGGAAAUCGAUCCAUGGGAAAGAUCUUGACAGGUGGGUCCGAUAGGGAGCUCAUUUAUCACUAGCAGAAAGGGAUAAGCUCGGGCUCUCUCUCAAACACACUGGAGAGGUGAUCAUUCUAUGCUCAGUCCAAGAUCACACGCCCUCUUCCGGUCUGCUUCCUAGCAUUGCAAUCCCCUCCUCCCUCUCAAAUGGAGAAAUCUUGCCUGGAGUUGGACAUGGAAGAGUGGGAGUUCCUCCCCGAUAACAAGGCCUUCCUGGGCUUCAGCCAUGACGGUGCCAAAGACGUGCUGCUCAAGGAGCUCAUCGUGGAUACGAACUACUUCUCAAGCCCUUCCAGAGAUGUUGCAGCUCCACUUAGCUCUGAUCCAACUGCAGGCGACAACCCAAACGACGAGGCUCCCGACGAAGGAUUCAAGGACGUCGGCGUCGUCCCACCGGUGACAUCAGCGAACCAGCGUGAAGUGGUACGUCAAGUCUUCUUCAAGAAGCUGAAGGAGAACGAACUCGUCGAUAUGAAGGUGGCCUCCAACGCCAUGGAAGCCAUCACGCCUCGCUUGGAACCAGAGCAGAAUCAGUUGGGUGAAGAAGGCAAGGAGGGGGCUCCGAUGGCGAACGAGAAGGAUCAAACAGCGUCUGAGAUCAAAGGCAAGGCUUGUGGGGAUGGCUUUGGGUUCACACUAUGGAAUUGGAGAUUGACAGGCAUCGGAGCCUUCUGCUGCGUAGCAGCUGCGACCAUCUGCAUCUUCAUCAUUGGCGGCCGACCGCAACAGAAGCAGAGGAUCCAGCUCGGUAUCCAUGCGGAUGAUAAGGUAGUGUUCAUUGAUUUUCCAUUAAUAUCCAUUAAUUUUAAUUCAGUAGCAAAAAUAUCUCUCUGUUCUUCUCACUUCCAACAUGUUAGUUUCUUAAUGGCUUUGAGCUUCUACUGUUGAUCGCAGAGGAUGAAGGCAAAAAGGCUAAACGAUACACUGUCAUCUCCCACCACCAAGGCACAGGUCUCAGUCGAAGGCCAGUACAAUCAAUAGUGCUCGAUCAACUGCAUGUUAUCAUCAGCAUCACUAAACGCAUAAAGUCCCUACUUAUUUGUACAUGGAUUGUGGGAGAUGAGUAGUAGGAGCAAGUGUGGUGCUAAUAUAUACAAUUUAAUGGCUAAAGUUAACAGAGCUUGUUUUGUCUUACGACAAAGACGAUGAGAAGAGAAGGUUGGCACUUGAAAGGAGAAGAGAAGGUUGGAAGGUCCACAAAGACAAAGGAGACGUGGUUGGGCCAUUUAAUAAGGAAUGCAAUCAAACAUCGACAUGUGAAUUAAGAAACAAACGAUACAUUAUUAUUAUUAUUAUUAUUACUCUCAUUGGAGACCUCAUCAACCUAUUAUUAAUGUAUACAUAUUACAUCAAGAAUAUACUUACAUUAAGAACAGCAAAAACAUUACCUUGCACCUACAAAUGCCAAGCCAUUUUUCAUGUAGCCAUCAACAUAAUAAAUAAGCAAUUAAUUGAAUUGAUCAUGGAAUGGAAGAAAACAAAAUGGAAUAGAAGAAAAAAUUCACAUCUAAAACCAGUUUAAUGAUUUCAAUCAACACAAAAGGAAAACUAAAAAUACUAUCAGUAAAUAAAUAAAUAAAUUAUAUAUACAUUUAUAUAGAUAUAAUAUAAUAUAAUAUAUAUCAGAAGCCAUCUAAGAAAGGAACUACCGAGAGAAAUGAGCUCCUUUCCCUCAAAAGGAUUCAUGUCGCUUUGCGCCUCCGUCUGAACCGUAUGCAGAUGGCUGUUUCAUCCUGCAUCCGGUUAUUCAAGAGGCUAUUCUCGAUUAAUCAUCAUGAUUGUAAAGAUUCAGAGACGGACAAGACAAUAAAAAGAAAAAGACGGCAUUUAGAUCGAAGGACGGAUACGAGAUAGCAAGAAAAGGAAGGGAGGACCUUGUCCAAGGCAGCUUGGGGGACACCACAUGGAGAUCAGUGAUGGAGUCCCCUCAAAAGGCCUGAGAAGGUUUGUAGUAGAGCGCAAACCCAUCUCUGUGCGCCCCCUAACUAAGCCGGACGGUACAAGGGCUUUCGCCUCCAUACGGCUACUCAAAGAGGCAAAUCAUCGAGCACCUAAAACACGAAAACAAACAGAGAGAGAGAGAGAGAGAGAGAGAGAGAGAGAGAGAGAGAGAGAGAGAGAGAGACAGAGAGAGAGAGAGAGAGAGAGAGAGAGAGAGAGAGAGAGAGACGGCGGUUGAGCAAGGCAGGCGGAGAUCAGCAUCGCGCUAGAGGCUUCACACUAGACGGCUACUAGCAGAGACAAACCAUCGAACACAUUAUACGCAGACGGCUACUAGCAGAGGCAAACCAUCGAACACUUUAUACACAGACGGAGAGAGGUGGAAGUCACGGAGUCGGAGGCGGCGGAGAAGGUUAGGGUUUAGUUAGGCUACAUAUAUACAAGCUGGGCUCGUUAAGAUGGCCCAAUAUCAUUGGACCAGAGAGCCCAUUCCCCAACCCAAUUAGUUGGAGAGUCCCAAUUUCGAUCAAACCUCCACUUGAUCAGACCCCAUCACCUUGUAAGAUAUGCACAUGGGAUCAGCAUUCCCAUGUUUUGAUCCACUGGAUCAAUAAUGAAUGUUGUACUUGGAUGAUUCCAUCCAUGAACCAUAAUGUGUGUGUGUGUGUGUGAGAAAGAGAGAGAGAGAGAGAGAGAGAGAGAGAGAGAGAGACUUUGUGCAUUCCCAUUCCACUUUUCAAGUAUAAACCACUUUAUAAUGGACACACACACAAACAAACACCAAUUUCUUGAAUGGCUUCCACUGUGUCAAACAAAACAUAAACUACAUCACAAUGCUAUGGCAUUUGCUCUUUUUUCUCUGCAGCCAAAAUGCCUCCACAAUGUUGGAUUCAUCAACAAGAUUAGAGACAUAGUCUUCUCUGCAUGAUUGCUUCGAGUUCAGAUUGGAGAAAGGGAAGACCAGUAACAAAACAUGACAAGAGUAGAUGGAAGCAAAUAAUAUGCCAAGGCAAUAAUACCACAUCUUAUUUCAUCUACUUCUAACCACAAAAAAUAGCUCACAGGAUCAAUCACCAAGCAUGACCACAGACAUCGGUACGAAUAUAUUUCUCUCACCAGAGAUGACAGAUGAGAACAACAAAUACAACAUCACGACGAAGAAUAUGAGGCAACAUGCCGCUCAGCAGAGGAAGUAUCCAAAGAGGAGGGCCGACAGCAUGGCAAGGACGGCAGCAGGCGCAGCGAGCGUUGUGGCGCCGGAGGUGGGGCUGGGGGCAGGAGCCUCGGCAGCGGCGGCUUUCUCGACCAAGGAAGAAGCCAUGACGACGGCCAUCAUGGCCACGGCGAAGAGCCUCAGCUUAGGACCAGCCUCCAUCGUCGAUAAUAUUGAAGUUAAUGAAGAGAGGAGAAGGCUUAGUUUGUGUGUAUAGACUCUCCACAGAUCCUCCUGAAGGAAAGAAGAGCAAAGAGAAGAAGGAAUGGGUUCAUGUGGUGGCGGGGAAGGAGGG